GCCCUGGUGGUGGAAUUGGUAGACACGCAGGACUUAAAAUCCUGUUCGCAGCAAUGCGAGUAACGGUUCAAGUCCGUUCCGGGGCA
This 86-nucleotide transfer RNA is filed under the name Filimonas lacunae. It matches the Rfam family "tRNA". From Rfam's summary of the family: Transfer RNA (tRNA) molecules are approximately 80 nucleotides in length. Their secondary structure includes four short double-helical elements and three loops (D, anti-codon, and T loops). Further hydrogen bonds mediate the characteristic L-shaped molecular structure. tRNAs have two regions of fundamental functional importance: the anti-codon, which is responsible for specific mRNA codon recognition, and the 3' end, to which the tRNAs corresponding amino acid is attached (by aminoacyl-tRNA synthetases). tRNAs cope with the degeneracy of the genetic code in two manners: having more than one tRNA (with a specific anti-codon) for a particular amino acid; and 'wobble' base-pairing, i.e. permitting non-standard base-pairing at the 3rd anti-codon position. RNAcentral also lists the same sequence under 3 other names. The record is from Rfam by way of RNAcentral. Lineage: Bacteria; Pseudomonadati; Bacteroidota; Chitinophagia; Chitinophagales; Chitinophagaceae.